RNAcentral lists this long non-coding RNA (5455 nucleotides) under Sus scrofa (pig). RNAcentral describes it as "lncRNA (ENSSSCG00000060917.1)". The record is from RNAcentral. Lineage: Eukaryota; Metazoa; Chordata; Mammalia; Artiodactyla; Suidae.
AUACUAGUCAGUUUCAUUACAGCUGAGCCACAAUGGCAACUCCCUUGAACCAAAUUUUGAUGAUGAUUAAUAUUUGGUAUUGAUGGGAGAAAGAGAUGCCUCCUUAUAAAAUUGAGAAAUACAAAAUGUAUUUAAAGUACAAUGAGUAGAUAAAUUCUGCUGAAACUAAGUAAUACUUUGAAAGUUUGAUAGUACAGAUUUAAAAAGGAGGAAAUAAGGACUUGAAAUCCAUAAUUAUUGAUUAUGAGUAAUUAAAUUAUAAAUAUAUUAGAACACCUACAGUUACCUGCAUUGAAAUUCAAUAUUUUAUGAAGCAUACUCACUCUAAUGAUUACCUAGGACAACAUUGUUAUGAAAGUCUCCUGUAAUGUUAUAUCAAAAAAAAAAAAAACCCAAUCAUAGAAUGGUCAAAUAUCUAAAUAGACCUUUCUCCAAAGAAGACAGACAUAUAGCUAAAAAGCACAUGAAAAUAUGCCCAACAUCACCAAUUAUUAGAGAAAUGCAGUCAAAGCUAUGAUGACAUAUCACUUCACACCAGUUAGAAUGGCCAUCAUCAAAAAGUCUACAAACAAUAUAUGCUGGAGAGCAUGUGGAGAAAAGGGAACUCUCUUACACUGUUGGUGGGAAUGUACAUUAGUGCAAACACUAUGGAGAACAAUAUGGAGUUUCCUUUAAAAAACUAAAUCUAGAACUACCAUAUGAUCUAGCAAUCCCACUCCUGGGCAUCUAUCUGAAGAAAACCAUAAUUCAAAAAGAUACAUACACAUCAUUGUCCAUGACAGCACAAUUUACCAUAGCCAAGACAUGGGAGCAACCUAAAUGUCCAUUAACAGAGGAAUGGAUAUAAAGAUGUUGCUGCACAUAUAUACAAUGGACUAUUGCUCAGCCAUAAACAAGAACACAAUUAUGACAUUUGCAGCAACACGGAUGGACCUAGAGAUUAUCAUGCUAAGUAAAGUAAGUCAGAUAGAGAGAUAAAUAUCACAUAAGAUCACUAAUAUGUGGAAUCUAAUAAAAAAUGACACAAAAUUGUUUACAAAGUAGAAACUGACUCAAAGAUUUUUGAAAUUAAACUUAUGAUUACUAUAGGGGAAAUGUGGAGGGGGAAGAAUAGAUUAGGUUGAAAUUGAUAUAUAUAAUUAAAAUAGAUAAGUAAUAAGGACCUACUGUAUAGGGAAAUAUAUUCAAUACUGUGUUAUAAUCUAUAUGGGAUAAGAAUCUGAAAAAGAAUGGAUAUAUAUGUAUAUGUAUGGCUGAUUCACAUUUCCGUAAAACUGAAACUUACACAGUAUUGUAAGUCAACUACACUACACUCUAAUAAAAUUUAAAAAAAGAAACUUGAGAUAUAGGAUUUAUAGAUUACUGAAUUAUAUGGUAUUCCCUAUCUUAUAAAUUUUCUAAAGGUAUGAGAUGCUUAACAAUGACAAUAGCAUCAGUUAGAGAGCACUAAUCUUUUGCUUUAAAAUUUUCAUGGAUAAAGAGGACAGACAAAACCAGGGGAGCUACUGCUAAAUUCAGCAUCAAAGAUUAUAUUCUAAAUAAAACACAUGCACAUUUUUAAUAUUAUUUUUCUAUAUAUGAGAAUUUAUGAUUUUAACUAGACUUUGGAGAUAAGGAGUUAACCUUCAGUAUCUUUUAUUGACCUUAGAAGGUGAUGUUAUUGUUUUUUGUUCCUCCCAGAACAUAUUACUUCCUUCCAUUUGUCCAGACUCCAUACUUUAAGCCAGAGGCACAGUGAAAGGAAGCCUUCACUCUGUAUGUACUAAAAGGUGAAAAAAAAUUGGAAACAAAAAGUUACAAUCAUUCUCUUUUAAAGUCGUUUUUAGAAAGAAAAAUUUUCCCUCUGUUUGUUAAGCAUGCAAAUGAGUGAUGAUGUUAGUACAUUGAGAAGAAAAUUGGUGAAGGUUAAAGAAGCUGCCCGUACAGUCAAAAGAAAGACCAGAAAUGAAGAGAGAUUCCUAAGCAGUACUAGUUUCCAGGAAACUCUGCCAUUCUCGAUGCUUUGAUUUCCAUUGUUCUUUUGAGGCUAUUAAAUACUCAGUUCACAGUUUAUAAAUCUACGUUUUUUGGAUGAAGGUUUUACAAGUGCUAUUUUUCAUCUCAUUGUGAUUCUCUCCGUUAACUCAAAAAUGACAUUUUUGACUUAUAGAUAUGUGUACCUCCCUUAUAGCCGCAUGAAUUACAUAUGUAGAAAAACAUGUAGCUAGCAAAGAAGGGAAAAUCACCAAUUGAGAAAAGAAGAAUUUUGUCUUUUUUCUGUUAUUUUUAAUUUGAACGUGUGUGCAUUUUUUUUGUAAUGUAAUGAAAAUAAACAGAUUAUAGAUCACAGAAUCAAAGAAUAUUUAAAUCAAAGGCAAGAUAUUAGGGAGCAUUUAGUCUAAUUGAAUUCUACUCUUCUUCCCCUAUAUCCUGUUACUAUUUACCUUUGAGAGUCCAAAAAUAGGUGUUUCAUAUAUGUUGUAUAGAUUUAAGCUCUCAGUAUAUUUUGUUUAUUUUUGCAUAUGAAGUCAAAUUGUCCAGCACUAGUUGUUGAAAAAAUAUUAUUUCUCCACUUAAAUUGCCUUUGCUUCCUUGUCAAAGAUCAGUUGACUAUAACUGUAUGAAUCUAUUUCUGUUCCACAGUGUGGACUCUCUACUCUGCUCCAUUGAUCUAUGUGUCUGUUCUUUUGCCAACACCACUCUGUCUUGUUUACUGUAGCUUUAUAGUAAGUGUUGUACUUUAGUAGUGUCAAUCCUCCAAAUCCAUUCUUUUUCAAUAUUGCAUUUGCUAUUCUGAAUCUUCCACUUUUUCACAUAAACUUAUGAAUCUAUUUGUUGAUAUCUACAAAAUAGCUUACUGGGAUUUUGAUCAGUUGUGUUAAAAUGUAUAGAUAGAGUAGGAAAGUAUCUCUAUCCAUAUAUACAAAAUACAUCUCCAUUUAUUUAGAUCAUCUUUGAUUUAUUUAAUCAGAGUUUUAUAGUUUUCUACAUAUCAAUCCUAUGUGGGUUUGAUUAUAGUUAUACAGAAAGAUCUAAUUUGUUAGUACUGUUAUAAAUGAUAUUGUGUUUUUAACUUCAUAUUGUGAUUUUGGAAUGUUAGCAAAAAUGGUUAAUAAUAAUUUAAAAUAAUAACUUAUUACAAGUGGAAAAAUGCAAACAAUAUGAAUAACAUAAGGACGAAUGAUUUUUAGGCAGGUGAUGAAAAAUAUCCCUGAUAAAGUAAUAUUUGUCUCAGUUGGUAUAUCAAUAGGCACUCUGGAAUGUCCUAGAUGCACAACUGUGAAUUCUUACUCUUGGUGGCAUGUAAAUAUGGAACCAGAGUUUCUGGUGUUUCACAAUCUUGAAGAGGGUGGGGGUAAGACUGUAUGUGGGUGGAUAGAGAAGUGGUGUGCAUUAUGUACAGGGAGGUACAAACCACUGAAGAAACUAGCAAUGGCAAGAUUCUAUUACUGCAAGCCCAAAUUAUCACUGAAAGGCAAACUCACAUUUUUAUGUGGCUCUAAAAUAUCAGAAACUUGGAGAAGCUGUACCUCUAAGAGUAGGCUGUGUUGUUUCCCAUUUUGGUUGUGCUAACAAUUUUUUGUACCCUUGUUAUUGCUCACUCUUUAAAUUCAGUACUGGUAUACAUUAUCGUCUUUAUGUUGAUAACAUCACAGUUCCAUUUGUGAAACAUUUUAUAGAGAUAUAUGUCAUUAAAUGUGAAUUGAAAACAUUGCAAAGGUAAAAACACACUAAGAAUUGUUAGACAUUGGGAGCAUUUUUGAAUGAGGAAAGAGAGUGACUUUCAAAUAUUAUUUAAUAUUCUUGCUUAACACUUUUGUUCUUUACAAGAAUAUAGUGCAAAUGGUUUGAACGAUCCAAAAAAUAAUGUGAUAAAAUUAAUGAUUUGUAUGUUGUUAAGUAAAAUAAGAUUAUAUAAUAAAUUGUAAUAUGUUAUAUAUUGUAUACCUCUUUUCCUUUUUAAAAGUAUUGGUCAUUUUGAAUGGAAGAAUCUUAUUAUGGCUUUAAUUUGCUACUUCCUGUUGACUAACAAGAUGAGAUCUUUUCAUGUGUUUGUGCUCAUUGCCCAUUUCUAUAGCCUCUUGUGAAGUGCCUGCUUAAGUCUGUUACACAUUUUUUUCUAUCAAAUUGCCUAUCUUUCUCUUACUGACUUACAGGAAGUUUUUAUAAAAUAAGAUAUAUUUUGCAAAUAUCCUAUCCUACUCUCUGGACUUGUCUUUAACUAUCACUUGAUAUCCUUCAGUGAACACGUAUUCUUGAUUACAAGAGUCCACUUUAAUAGCAUAUUUUACGAUUUGCAUUGUUUGGACCAUAUUUAGGAAAACAUCUCCAAAAAUCUACAUCUAAUACCAUACUUAAUGGUAAUAAACUAGAUGCCUUUUCUCAAAAUGCCUUUUCAUUUGUUAAUUACAGACAUCAAAAGUUUUAAAUUAAUAGUCUGAAAACAAGUCUUUGUGAGACAACUGUUCCAUGUAACAACCUAUAGGAACAUUUAUAUACAUAUCUCAUGUUGGAAAAACAAAGACCUAAUCAAAAAAAUAUUCUUAAGUUUAUUGGGAAAGGCAAAAGAACUAGAGUAGCCAGCACAAGAAAGGAGAACAAAAUUGAAGGACUCAAUCCAAUUACAAAAUUUACUAUAAAGUUACAGUAAUCAUAACACCAAGGUAUUGAAAAAAAGAACUGUCACAUAAAUCAAUGGAACAUAUACUACAGCCCAAAAGUAGAUCCACACAAACAUAAUAAAAAAUGUAGUCAAAAAUAGUUUGUCAAAAAAGCAAAAGUAAUUUAAUGGAGAAAGAAUAUUAUUUUCAAUAAAUAGUUCUGGAAAAAAAUUUGGAUGUCCAUACACAAAAGUAAAUGAAUCUAUAUAUAUAUAAAUUACAAUUUUGACAAAAAUUAACUCUAAAUGGUUCACAGACCUAAAUAUAAACACAAAACUAUGAAACAUAUAGAAGAAAACAUUGGACAGAUACUUUGCGUCUCUGGGAUUAAUGAUGAAUUUUCAACUGUAUCAGAAAUAUGAAAGAAAAACUGGAUGUUGGAUUUAAUUAAAAUUAAACUGUCUACUCUGUGAAAGAAGAAUGGAAAGACAAGAUGCAGAUUGGCAAACAAAAAUAUCUGCAAAACACAUAUUUGAUAAAGAACUCGCAUCCAAAAUAAACAAUUCUUAAAACUCAAUAUUAAGUGAUUAAACAAUCAAUUAACACAGGCAAAAUAUGUGAACAAACAUCUCAUUCAAGAAUAUAUACACAUGGAGUUCCCGUUGUGGCACAGUGGUUAAUGAAUCCGACUAGGAACCAUGAGGUUGAAGGUUCGAUCCCUGGCCUUGCUCUGUGGGUUAAAGUCCGGCAUUGCUGUGAGCUGUGGUGUAGGUGGCCGAUGCAGCUAGGAUGCCAUGUUGCUGUGGCUCUGGCGCAGGCCGGCGGCUACAGCUCCGAUUCAACCCCUAGCCUGGGAACCUCCAUAUGCCACGGGA